This 176-nucleotide ribosomal RNA is filed under the name uncultured rumen bacterium. RNAcentral's name for it is "partial 16S ribosomal RNA". It matches the Rfam family "Bacterial small subunit ribosomal RNA", at positions 331 to 524 of the family's 1533-position model. The record is from RNAcentral.
UUGGGCCACGGGAGGCAGCAGUGGGGAAUAUUGGGCAAUGGGCGAAAGCCUGACCCAGCAACGCCGCGUGAGUGAAGAAGGCCUUCGGGUUGUAAAGCUCUGUUAUAGGGGACGAAGGAAGUGACGGUACCCUAUAAGGAAGCCCCGGCUAACUACGUGCCAGCAGCCGCGGUAAU